Molecule: long non-coding RNA, 431 nt
Organism: Ipomoea triloba (trilobed morning glory)
Lineage: Eukaryota; Viridiplantae; Streptophyta; Magnoliopsida; Solanales; Convolvulaceae
Exons: 3
Source: RefSeq, a predicted model, not a curated record
UUUGUUUCACAGGUCAAGCCACAAUGUUACCCAGCUAUUCUUCUUACAACUGGUUUAUAUGAUCCACGUGUUCUCUACUCGGAACCAGCAAAAUUUGUAGCCAAGUUGAGGGAUAUGAAGACUGAUGACAAUAUGCUAUUGUUCAAAUGUGAAUGCAGUGCUGGGCACUUUUCAAAAUCAGGAAGGUUUGAAAAGCUCAAGGAAGUUGCCUUCACGUAUGCUUUCAUUUUGAAGGCUUUAAGCAUGAUUCCCUCACCAGGCUCCAAGACCAACUGAUAAAGUUACAUUCGCCAUUCGGGGAUACUAUCUUAGGGGGUGUAUUCCAUCAUAACUUUCAUAGAAUUUUAAAGACUUUUAUAAACUUUAAAAGUUUGGAGGUAUUCAAUUCAAACUUUUAGAAAGUAUUUAAAAGUCAUGCGGUAUUCGAUCAA